Molecule: microRNA precursor, 89 nt
Filed under: Mus spretus (western wild mouse)
Lineage: Eukaryota; Metazoa; Chordata; Mammalia; Rodentia; Muridae
Description: predicted gene, 54786 (ENSMSPG00010015432.1)
Rfam family: mir-692 microRNA precursor family
Source: RNAcentral
CAGGACCAGCACAGACUGGCGCACCCCAGGGAUCUCUGGGUGAGUAUCUCUUUGAGUGCCUCACUCUCAAGGAGAUCUCUGUGCCUUCC